AGGCCUACCAUGGUUUUAACGGGUAACGGGGAAUUAGGGUUCGAUUCCGGAGAGGGAGCCUGAGAAACGGCUACCACAUCCAAGGAAGGCAGCAGGCGCGCAAAUUACCCAAUCCCAACACGGGGAGGUAGUGACAAUAAAUAACAAUACAGGGCCUUUACGGGUCUUGUAAUUGGAAUGAGUACAAUUUAAAUCCCUUAACGAGGAACAAUUGGAGGGCAAGUCUGGUGCCAGCAGCCGCGGUAAUUCCAGCUCCAAUAGCGUAUAUUAAAGUUGUUGCAGUUAAAAAGCUCGUAGUUGAAUUUUAGCCUUGGCUGGGUGGUCCUGCCUUUUGGUAGGUACUGCUUUGGCUGGGGCUCACCUUCUGGUAAAGCAUCAUGUUCUUAAUUGGAUGUGGUGGGGAACCAGGACUUUUACUUUGAAAAAAUUAGAGUGUUUAAAGCAGGCAUUUGCUUGAAUACAUUAGCAUGGCAUAAUAGAAUAGGACUUUGGUUCUAUUUUGUUGGUUUCUAGGACUGAAGUAAUGAUUAAUAGGGAUAGUUGGGGGCAUUAGUAUUUAAUUGUCAGAGGUGAAAUUCUUGGAUUUAUGAAAGACUAACUUCUGCGAAAGCAUUUGCCAAGGAUGUUUUCAUUAAUCAAGAACGAAAGUUAGGGGAUCGAAGACGAUCAGAUACCGUCGUAGUCUUAACCAUAAACUAUGCCGACUAGGGAUCGGACGAUGUUAUUUUUUUGACUCGUUCGGCACCUUAUGAGAAAUCAAAGUUUUUAGGUUCCGGGGGGAGUAUGGUCGC
This 791-nucleotide ribosomal RNA is filed under the name uncultured zygomycete. RNAcentral's name for it is "SSU rRNA". It matches the Rfam family "Eukaryotic small subunit ribosomal RNA", at positions 337 to 1132 of the family's 1831-position model. The record is from RNAcentral. Lineage: Eukaryota; Fungi.